RNAcentral lists this ribosomal RNA (497 nucleotides) under uncultured bacterium. RNAcentral describes it as "partial 16S ribosomal RNA". It matches the Rfam family "Bacterial small subunit ribosomal RNA", at positions 28 to 507 of the family's 1533-position model. The record is from RNAcentral.
GAUGAACGCUGGCGGCGUGCCUAAUACAUGCAAGUCGAGCGAACGGACGAGAAGCUUGCUUCUCUGAUGUUAGCGGCGGACGGGUGAGUAACACGUGGAUAACCUACCUAUAAGACUGGGAUAACUUCGGGAAACCGGAGCUAAUACCGGAUAAUAUUUUGAACCGCAUGGUUCAAAAGUGAAAGACGGUCUUGCUGUCACUUAUAGAUGGAUCCGCGCUGCAUUAGCUAGUUGGUAAGGUAACGGCUUACCAAGGCAACGAUGCAUAGCCGACCUGAGAGGGUGAUCGGCCACACUGGAACUGAGGCACGGUCCAGACCCCUACGGGAGGCAGCAGUAGGGAAUCUUCCGCAAUGGGCGAAAGCCUGACGGAGCAACGCCGCGUGAGUGAUGAAGGUCUUCGGAUCGUAAAACUCUGUUAUUAGGGAAGAACAUAUGUGUAAGUAACUGUGCACAUCUUGACGGUACCUAAUCAGAAAGCCACGGCUAACUACGUG